CAAUUUAAACAACGAAGAGUUUGAUCCUGGCUCAGGAUGAACGCUAGCGACAGGCUUAACACAUGCAAGUCGAGGGGCAGCACA
RNAcentral lists this ribosomal RNA (84 nucleotides) under Parabacteroides distasonis. Its description in RNAcentral is "partial 16S ribosomal RNA". It matches the Rfam family "Bacterial small subunit ribosomal RNA", at positions 1 to 76 of the family's 1533-position model. RNAcentral also lists the same sequence under 1 other name. Lineage: Bacteria; Pseudomonadati; Bacteroidota; Bacteroidia; Bacteroidales; Tannerellaceae. The record is from RNAcentral.